AGGAUGGUAGUUUAAAUGAACAAUUGGGUUGCAUUCAAUAGGAGCUUAAUUAAGCCCAUCUUA
RNAcentral lists this transfer RNA (63 nucleotides) under Spinactaletes boneti. Its description in RNAcentral is "tRNA-Ala". Lineage: Eukaryota; Metazoa; Arthropoda; Collembola; Entomobryomorpha; Actaletidae. The record is from RNAcentral.